Molecule: non-coding RNA, 673 nt
Organism: Peromyscus maniculatus bairdii (prairie deer mouse)
Lineage: Eukaryota; Metazoa; Chordata; Mammalia; Rodentia; Cricetidae
Source: RefSeq, a predicted model, not a curated record
UUUGUUGCCAGUCUGGGAUUCAAGAGAUCCUGUCUCAAAAGAGGAUGGGGAUGAAAUUCUCAAAGAACUGAUGAGAAUCUGUUGGGGCAAAAGGGAGGGUCGAGGAGAGAAGAAGAGCCCGCAUGGUCCUCCCCUCUUCCAGAGAGGCAAGACAGGGGAAGGGCAUGGCAGGGAGAAACGGCUUUCUUUGCUUUCAGCUGGAAUGCAAGAGUCAGAGGAUGGCAGCCAGGUGGUGGACCCGGGAGCCUCAGAGAGGGCCAAGGGACAGGCCACCUACUCCAGCCUGCAUCAAGACCAGUGAGAGCAUCCAGGGGAAGAGACUGCAGCCCUGGUGAAUGAGGUCAGCAAGGCCUGCUGAGUGUCCUGUAGUGGUCACAUGGAGUGAGCAACAAUGGAGGGCAGUGUAUCUGCUCGGAUUACAUCAUUAACUAUUUCAGUCAUCGGUGCUGAGCAUCCAGACCAGACCCGGUCCUGAAGAUGCAGAGGCCAGGAGGACCCAGAAACCUCCUGGUGUAGAAAGAACAGCAGGCCCACAGCUGGAGGCUGUUUAUUCAUGACAUGGUAUCACAGCAACAGGAACCCUGACUGGGACGGCCCACCACCGCUGCUGCUGACCCGGAUGGAUGCCUGUCACACUGCUACCCACUGCGCCCCCACAAGGGGGCGCUCUCCC